UACGAAGGGGGCUAGCGUUGUUCGGAGUUACUGGGCGUAAAGGGCGCGUAGGCGGCGCACCAAGUCAGGCGUGAAAGCCCUGGGCUCAACCCGGGAAUUGCGCUUGAGACUGGUGUGCUUGAGUACGGGAGAGGAUAGUGGAAUUCCCAGUGUAGAGGUGAAAUUCGUAGAUAUUGGGAAGAACACCGGUGGCGAAGGCGGCUAUCUGGACCGUAACUGACGCUGAGGCGCGAAAGCGUGGGGAGCAAACGGG
Molecule: ribosomal RNA, 253 nt
Filed under: uncultured bacterium
Lineage: Bacteria
Description: partial 16S ribosomal RNA
Rfam family: Bacterial small subunit ribosomal RNA
Source: RNAcentral